UGGGGAAUAUUGCACAAUGGGCGCAAGCCUGAUGCAGCCAUGCCGCGUGUAUGAAGAAGGCCUUCGGGUUGUAAAGUACUUUCAGUCGGGAGGAAGGUGUCAAGGUUAAUAACCUUGUCGAUUGACGUUACCCGCAGAAGAAGCACCGGCUAACUCCGUGCCAGCAGCCGCGGUAAUACGGAGGGUGCAAGCGUUAAUCGGAAUUACUGGGCGUAAAGCGCACGCAGGCGGUCUGUCAAGUCGGAUGUGAAAUCCCCGGGCUUAACCUGGGAACUGCAUUCGAAACUGGCAGGCUAGAGUCUUGUAGAGGGGGGUAGAAUUCCAGGUGUAGCGGUGAAAUGCGUAGAGAUCUGGAGGAAUACCGGUGGCGAAGGCGGCCCCCUGGACAAAGACUGACGCUCAGGUGCGAAAGCGUGGGGAGCAAACAGG
This 429-nucleotide ribosomal RNA is filed under the name Chloroflexota bacterium. Its description in RNAcentral is "Chloroflexi bacterium partial 16S ribosomal RNA". It matches the Rfam family "Bacterial small subunit ribosomal RNA", at positions 355 to 776 of the family's 1533-position model. Lineage: Bacteria; Bacillati; Chloroflexota. The record is from RNAcentral.